RNAcentral lists this ribosomal RNA (296 nucleotides) under uncultured bacterium. RNAcentral's name for it is "partial 16S ribosomal RNA". It matches the Rfam family "Bacterial small subunit ribosomal RNA", at positions 505 to 796 of the family's 1533-position model. The record is from RNAcentral.
GUGCCAGCAGCCGCGGUAAUACAGAGACCUCAAGCGUUAUCCGGAAUCAUUGGGCGUAAAGCGUACCGAUAGGUGGUUUAUUAAGUCUGGGGUAAAAGCCGGAAGCUCAACUUCCGCGUUUGCUUUAGAUACUAAUAGACUAGAGGGGCAAAGAGGUGCUUGGAACCAACGGUGUAGUAGUGAAAUGCGUUGAUAUCGUUGGGAACACCGAAAGCGAAGGCAGAGCACUGGGUGCCACCUGACACUGCUAGGACGAAAGCGUGGGUAGCGAAUGGGAUUAGAUACCCCAGUAGUCC